CCUACGGGGGGCAGCAGUGGGGAAUAUUGGACAAUGGGGGCAACCCUGAUCCAGCCAUGCCGCGUGUGUGAAGAAGGCCCUCGGGUUGUAAAGCACUUUCAGUGAGGAAGAACGCCUGGUGGUUAAUACCCAUCAGGAAAGACAUCACUCACAGAAGAAGCACCGGCUAACUCCGUGCCAGCAGCCGCGGUAAUACGGAGGGUGCGAGCGUUAAUCGGAAUUACUGGGCGUAAAGCGCGCGUAGGUGGCUUGAUAAGCCGGUUGUGAAAGCCCCGGGCUCAACCUGGGAACGGCAUCCGGAACUGUCAAGCUAGAGUGCAGGAGAGGAAGGUAGAAUUCCCGGUGUAGCGGUGAAAUGCGUAGAGAUCGGGAGGAAUACCAGUGGCGAAGGCGGCCUUCUGGACUGACACUGACACUGAGGUGCGAAAGCGUGGGUAGCGAACAGGAUUAGAUACCCCAGUAGUC
RNAcentral lists this ribosomal RNA (465 nucleotides) under Vreelandella stevensii. RNAcentral describes it as "partial 16S ribosomal RNA". It matches the Rfam family "Bacterial small subunit ribosomal RNA", at positions 338 to 795 of the family's 1533-position model. The record is from RNAcentral. Lineage: Bacteria; Pseudomonadati; Pseudomonadota; Gammaproteobacteria; Oceanospirillales; Halomonadaceae.